AGGGAGGUGAGGUUUGGAACUAGGAGACUAGGAGGGAGGGGAGGUUUGGAACUAGGAGACUAGGAGGGAGGUUUGGAACUAGGAGACGGUCGUCCAUGUGUCUGCGAAGAAAGCAUCAAAACUGAACUUCCACAUUGAAAGAAUGAGUUGAGUGUGUAAUUGAUGUAUGCUUGCUGCCUGGAGACGACAUGGUGACAUAAUAGAACAUGGGGAUGAUGCAACAAAGCUGACAUGUCAGAAUCUACUGAGGAACACGCGAUGCAGGAGAUGACCUCGAACUGUAACCAGAACAUGGACUCAUGAACAGCUCUGGGUUUGGACUGAAUGUUGUUAAUGAAAUUAACAAAGUGCCACAGAAAUGACUGGGAAUUGGGAAUCCCUCACUGCACAAGGUAGACAGAUAUUUUUUUAUGAAACAAGUUUUUAAUGAAGGAGGUCACAUCUUGUUGGUCUUCGAUCAAAACACACCAGCCAUGUGAUUUACAUUACAUCAAUCAGCACUUAGUUACUUCAACAGACCUAAUUUUAUGUUAAGUUGAGAAAUGUGUGUGCGUGUGUGUAUAAAUGUUAUCUUUCUGA
This is a long non-coding RNA of Osmerus eperlanus (European smelt), 579 nucleotides long. RefSeq lists it as uncharacterized. NCBI's taxonomy places the organism in Eukaryota, Metazoa, Chordata, Actinopteri, Osmeriformes, Osmeridae. The transcript is spliced from 2 exons. The record is from RefSeq and is a predicted model, not a curated record.